This 574-nucleotide ribosomal RNA is filed under the name uncultured Heterostelium. Its description in RNAcentral is "bacterial SSU rRNA". It matches the Rfam family "Eukaryotic small subunit ribosomal RNA", at positions 356 to 891 of the family's 1831-position model. Lineage: Eukaryota; Evosea; Eumycetozoa; Acytosteliales; Acytosteliaceae. The record is from RNAcentral.
CGGGUGACGGGGAAUCAGGGUUCGAUUCCGGAGAGGGAGCCUGAGAAAUGGCUACCACUUCUACGGAAGGCAGCAGGCGCGCAAAUUACUCAAUCCCAAUACGGGGAAGUAGUGACAAAAAAUACUAAUGCCCUUCCAUUUUAUGGGGGGCAAUUGGAAUAAGUACAACUUAAAUCGCUUAGCAAAAGUGAUUGGAGGGCAAGUCUGGUGCCAGCAGCCGCGGUAAUUCCAGCUCCAAUAGCGUAUACUAAAUUUGUUGCAGUUAAAAAGCUCGUAGUUGAGAUUGAGAUUUCUUAGGUUUAAAGCUUCUAUUUUUAGCUUCGGUUAAAUUUUAGUUGUGUAUAAAGCUUUUUAGUAGACUUUUGUUUGCUAUUAAAGUUACUAAGAAAUUUCUUUCUGCCCAUGAUUUAGGUUCGCCCCUGAAUCAAUCGGGUGUUCUACUGUGAGAAAAUUGUAGUGUUUAAAGCAGGCGUAUUAGUUUGUUCAAUGCAGCAUGGUAUAGUAAAACAAGACACUAAACAUUUGUUGGUUAAUGUUCUAUAGUGUAAUGACUAAUAGGGAAGGGCGGGGCCGU